GGAAGUAAUAACAUACUAGUACAGAAAAGCUUUUUCAACCAAGUUUGGCCAAAACAUCAUUUAAGGUAGAUACAGUUUCAGCAUAGUACUUCUCUGCUUCAGGGCUGUUCUUGGUCUUUGCUGCAUGGUCCAGCUGAGGAAGGAAAAGAACAGAUUAUUAAAACGAAUACGAAAAUAUAAGCAACCCUUUGGAUUUCUAUGCACAUUAUUUCACUACUUUUGACAUUCAUGUACGUAACCAAGAAUAUAAUGUAGAGAUUUGACUUACAUCACUAAUGGUCUUGAAGAGCUUUCCAGUCAGGUCCUGGAGUUUUCCCUUCUCUUCUUUUGGCUUAGCAGAGAUUACGGUCUUAAGGUCAUAGCGAAGGUAUUCUGCUCUGAGACGAAGGUCAUUCUGGACAUAUGGCCAGGCCUUCUUGUCGAUGAAAUUCUUGACGCUAACAAUCUCCUUGGCUGAAUCCUUAACUCUCUGGGCUGCUUCAGCUGGAGUCAAUGGUUGAAGGUAAAACCUCUUCUUCAGUGGUAGACCAAAGUCCCUUGCCUCAUCCGAGUUCAAAGUUCCAGCUGCCAAUACCCAAAUGCUCAGCAUGAGUACACACAUUCCAAAUACUAAAAUUAUCUUUCCUAGUUCUAGUAACCAUUCUUUAUACAGUUCUGAAUUGUUGGAAUUUGUUGUAAGUCUUAUUUUACCAAAAUGAGAAACCAUCAUAUUUCAAUUGCAUAACUACUUCUAAAGAUCCAUCUGGUUUAUUGUAUUUUGCAUUCAUAAAAUGCAAUGCACAAAGAUUGAUUUUCAUGGCACAAGUACUAAGAACUAGUACAAGAUCUCAAUUAUCACUUACUCCCUUCGGUUCACAAUAAGUGACCAAUUUGCUUUGGGCACACCCAUUAAAAAAAUAUUAAAUUCUAGACGAAAAUAGUUAGUGUGACUAAACUACCUUCAUUAAAUGUUGCACCAUAGUUAUAGUAGUACUUACUUCUUUUUUCAAAUGUGAGGAGUAAAUGACUUUUUAGGAAUACGUACAUAAGGGUAAUUUUGGAAAAACAAAUUGAANNNNNNNNNNNNNNNNNNNNNNNNAUAAAUUGGCCACUUAUUGUGGACCGAAGGGAGUAUCGAUUACUUUUCCAUAUUUCCCAAUUUGGGAAGGAUGUGUCCUUUUGUAUCACAUAUGAAAUCUACUGCUUCAAAUUUAAUGUUUGAAAGCGUUUCUACAAUCGCUUCUCACGAAAUAUUAUAAAAAAAAUCAGAAGGGACAAGUUACAGACCCUUCAAAAGGAUCGGAAUACUCUUGUCAAAUGCAGUCUUUGACUACUUACUAUAAGCCUCUCCUGUUCUUUCUUAAUUCCCUCUUAUAAUUCACAUAAGGAUUUCUCUUUAUGACACGAUCUAGUAACCUUAAUCUAUUCCUCGGUCCAGUGAAGGUUCUAAUCACUGAAAAAUUAAGCAAAAUUAAAUGAAUUGAAAUGCAACACUGGAGACUCACUCUUACAUUCUUUCCUGGAUAUGUGAAUCUUGCUGUCAAUUGUCUGUAACUAUAUCUAUUAUGAUAUUGUUAUUGUGUCGCUCCAGUAAUCAGUGGCGGAUCUAGACUAGACACAAAAGGUUCGACAAAACCCUUAGCUCCAUAUAUGCGUGUUUGAAUUGAAAAAAAUUGGAACAUCUAUAAAAAACAGAACCCAAUGACUCUAAAUGUUGAUUCACCACUGGGAAAGAAAGGGAAAAGGUAAAUAAAGACCUUAACAAAAAGCAAGACAACUUACGUAAUCCACCAGAGGGAGGAGGAGCGCCACCAAUCUUGAUUGAUUUAGCAGCAGCAAAGGCUGCUUGAGCAAAGGAACCAGCAAGGCCAGCAGCAACAAGACCGAUGACGGCUCUACGGCUAGUUUCAGUGUCAGCAGACCCCUGUUGGGCUCUAAUGCUGAGCCCUGGUCUAGCCAAGGCAAUUCUGCUGGUACUAACAGUGCUCAAACGGGCUGAGCCACUGAGCUGACCAUCCAACACAGUCUGAGAAGAACCAAUUAGGCCACCCAUUGAAGCCAUAGCAUGAGCCAUUUUGGUGAACUAUCUGAAAUUUGUUUCAGGCAAGGGUGAUAGAAGUAGGGUGGGGGAAAUUAUAAGUUAAUGUUGUGGUACGUAUGAUGUGGAUAUUGCAAUUUCUGGUGUUUGUGAUGCAGAGUGAAUACACUAAGAUCACCUUAUCUGUCUUUGGAUAUGCCAUGAGCCAAUCAGUGCCUACUUUCUUGACAUGUAGGAUCAGGUUCUUUUUCCAGCUGUAGCAUCUUGACACAUGGACCAAGAAGAUUUUGGAUUUACACGUCAUCAUGCAUGACAAAUAUAAGUUGCUGAAAUUGAUGAAACUUCUAGAGCUUGUCCAAUGAGAAAAAGGAAGUCCAAAUCAUGGCAAGAGCCUAAGCGCAUUAAAUUUAUUACAUUAUAAUACAGUUUCACCUUACAUUUUUUCACAAGAUAAGUCCUUCUGAUCACAGUAACUUUUAUAGUAUACUAAAAUUGGCCGAAUGGGUAAUGAAUCUAUAUUUGUAGUCCUCUAGAUGCCACCUAAAAUCUCUUUUGGGAGAAGCCGUUAGCAUUUCAUUUUGUGAUUGUAUCGUUAAACUCGCAACUAUUUUUUGAAUCAUUACAAUUUACUAAAAAAAGUAAAUAUCUGACACUGAAAAGUGAUGCAUAAUUGCAACAUCACCAAACUAAAAAAUUACAGCUUGUCAUAAUCAUAUUUUAGAUUAAAAAAAUUAAAACUAAACUAUUUUACGCUCUAAUGCAAAAUAGUUUAUGUUAAUAUUUUAAAAAUAUCAUUAUGUCAAGCUGAUUUUUUUUAAAAUUUGCUGACGUGGCAACAACAUCCCAUUUUUCAAAGCCAGAUAUUUGAUUUUCCAUUUAUGUACUUUCUAAAAAAUUACAACAUAGUUCAGUGAAUUUAAUGAUAAUAAAAAUAGAUCAGUAACUUUACUUAUAUAUCAGGCAGAGGGAGCGGCGGAGCGGGGAGGGUUGAAAUCAUCAUUUAAAAAGGUUCGAAAAAUAUUUUCCCUCCUUCUAUUAGAGAAGUUAUUUUUUGGGUUAGAGAAAAAUAUGUUUUACAAGGAAAAGAAAAUUUCAAAACAUUCCAGUCAAUCAAACAUGUAAAAGUUGGAUCCUCCGUGCCAAAAACACCGUAAAUAUUGUACGGGGCGCCUUAUUUGGUCGUCCUCAUUUAACCUAUACCCACUUUUUAAAAUGUUUUAACUUGUACUCAUUGUUUAAACAACUUCAGGCCUCUUUUUCCUCUUCCUUCUCCUCCUUCGUUUUCUGAAUGUUGAAGCUUGAGAUACUGUUAUUUGUUCUAGCCUGAUGAUUCAUAUAUAUUUGCUUGUCCCAUUAUAUUUAUUUUGGUCUUAUUCACAAUAAUUUAACCUCUUAGAUAUUUUAGCUUUAUAGGUAAACUGAUUUUUGGUUCUAAUUUAUCUGUAGUAACUUAUUUUCAUGUCGAAAAUAUUUUCAUUUUUUAAUCUUUAAAUGAACAGCAUCAAUCAUUGCUAAUCAUGAUUUAUUAAGUUCAUUGUUGUUUACAACUUCAGCUCUAAGAAUGCUGAAGUUCAGCAAAUACAAAACAUGUUGGGAUAUAUACUAUUAACCAUGAUUUUUGGUUUGGAUAUAGUAUUUAUGAUGGAACAAUUGUUUAUUCAAUUUUGAUANNNNNNNNNNNNNNNNNNNNNNNNNNNNNNNNNNNNNNNNNNNNNNNNNNNNNNNNNNNNNNNNNNNNNNNNNNNNNNNNNNNNNNNNNNNNNNNNNNNNNNNNNNNNNNNNNNNNNNNNNNNNNNNNNNNNNNNNNNNNNNNNNNNNNNNNNNNNNANAUUAAAUCAUCGGUUCUUAUAAGUAUAAACAUCAUGUUCACAAUCUAAUGAUUGGAUUGGACAAACCAUCAGGAAUGAUUGUAGCACAAGAUUAAAUAUAUUUUAUCUUGAAUAUGGGAAUAGUUUAAUUCUGACUUCUUGUGCUAGUACAUUUUGUAUGUAUUGAACGGACCAAGUAGAGAUAAGUAUUUUAUACUGACUUGAUAAAAUAAAUUCUCUAGCCAUUAAAUGUACUUAUACUCUUAAUCUUGAUAUAAUUAUUAUUAGGUGUGCAUAUUAUUAUUGUUUUGAUUUAUUAAAAGGCAAGAUUCUUUCGUGGGUCAAUAUGCCUGGUAAAUUGGACAAUAAUGAUAUACGUUGGCAAAGUAAUAGUUAGUUGAUGGAAUUCAUGUCUCGGUCUAGAGAUUGAUGAUACACCUUAUAAGUUUUCAUGUGUAAACCCUGCAGAUGGAUUUUGUAUCCGUCACAUGAAAUAAGUUAAGCGAAAGUCUAAAGGAAAUAAUCAAUGAAUUAAAUUGUCAGUAAUUUAAUUUAUUCGAUUAGUAUCCGAGUCUUAACACGGAGAGUUAAAUAAGGUUUAAUGGAAGAAUUUCGAAAUUGAACUGAGGAGUGCAGUUACGAAUUUUUAGUGGAAUAAUUCGUAAUUUAUUAUGGUAGUAUUAAUUCAGACAUUUCGAAUUAAGUCCAUAAUAGGAAGUCUCGUUAAUUAAAUAUUGUGGUCCCUGUUGUGACCGAAUAAUUAGGAAUUAAAUGGAAUUAUAUUUCGUGGUGGAAAAGUAAGACCCAGCAGGUUUAGGAAAAGGCUUUAAACCCUAAAACUUGUGGCUAUAUAAAGGGGUCUUAUUCCAUAAGGAGGCUAUGGUUUUUAUAUACAGUUUUCCUAGGAGAAACUCGUGUGGAGGAUGAUCCCGUGAACGUUUUUGCUCUUGCUUGGAGGUUCUUUUCGCGAUCAUUGUCACGCUUCAAGAGAUAAGUAUCGAUUUUAUGGUUGAUUAAAAUCUAUAAUUAUGUGUUGUCUAUAUUACAUGCAAGUGAUCCUGACUAUUUACUUCCGUUGUUCAUACCUAUUUCCAACAAUUGGUAUCAGAGCCAGGUAGAACGUAAGGAAAAUCAUAUGGUAAAGCUUUAGUGUAGUCGUUGACAGCAGUGGCGGAGGCAGGAUCUCCACGAAGGGGGUUUAAAAAAAAAUUAUGGCUAGUGGGAAUUGAACCCAUGACCGUAUGUAAAGUUUGAACCCCCUUGACCACUAAACUACACUUUUGGAUUGUGUUAAAGGUGUUUAAAACUUAAUAUAUAGAGAUAAAAAACAGAUUUUGCCUUAUAUAUACAGUGUAAUUUUUCGGCGAAGGGUGUUCGGGUGAACACCCUUGCACCCCUAAAUCCGCCCCGGGUUGACAGUUCGGCUGCGGAAAUCGAAGUUGUUCAUUGAAUGGUCUUAAACCCAUUACUCGUAAGUUGUAAGAAUGUAAGUUAUGGAUUUGUGGUAAGAAAUAAUUUUAAGAAUAAAAGGAAUUGAAGGUCGUUGGCUGUUGCUUGGCCGAAGAUGCAUAGGCGUGGAUUUAAUCUACUGUUUUGUUAUUUAGCAAAGAUUGCAUUGAGGAAAGGUACUUGCACAUUCCUUUGAUGGAAUAAAGUGGUAGUGUCUGACUGUAUCACCCAUGAAUUGGAAAAGUUCACCUUGACCAUUUGAAUUGAUUCCUGAGUCCAGCCUUUGGGCACUUCACGUGUCAGUGUUAAACACAAACACUUAAAUUGUCUAUAUUCUUUUAGAUGCUAUGAGUGUAGUAAAACUUUUAAGGCUUCUUGUUAUUGAAUGAAUAUUGAGGUUUGGCUCUUCGGGACAAUUAAUUAGACAAAAUAAUUUCUGGGAUUAUUUAUAUGGGCAGAAUAUUACAUAACAUUGUAUGAAUUAAGAAUUUCAUGAUUAACAAAUGGGUACUUAAGUGGUUUGUUUAUUCGAAAUCAUUAAAAAUUCUUAGAGCUUUAUACAUAUGUGAUGAUAUAUGUAACGACCCGACCGGUCGUUUUGAGCUUUUGCACUUUGAUCGCCAGUUCUCGGGCAUGACUUGCCCUGUAUGAUGUAUUAUGACUGAUGUGGAUCGAUGGUUUUGGUUUUCAGGAAAAUCGGAAGGAAUUUGAAAGAACGGUCUUAGAUGAAAGCUUUGAAUUUGAAAGGUUUGACCAAGAGUUGACUUGUUUGUAUAUGAUCUCAUAUCGAAAUUUUUAUGAUUUGGUUAGCUCCGUUAGGUGAUUUGUGACUUAGGAGCACGAUCAGAAUGAGUUUUGGAGUUGUAGAGAAGAUUUAGGCUUGGAUUGACAAAGUUGAUAUUUUGGCGAUUUUCGGUUGAUAGGCGAGAUUUUGAUACGGGGGUCGGAAUGAAAUUUCGAGAGUUGCAGUAGCUCUGUUAUGGCAUUUGGGAUGUGCGUGCAAAGUUUCAGGUCAUCCGGACGAGGUUUGGUAGACUUUUUGAUCGAAAAUGUGUCUUUAGAGUUUUUGAAAUUUUAAGCUUGAAUUCGAUGAAAAAUAGGUGUUUUGAUGUUGUUUAUGGCGUUCCGAGGGUUGGAACAAGUUUGAAUGAUGUAUUGGGAUUGAUUGGCAUGUUUGGUUGAGGUCCCGGGGGCCUCGGGUGAGUUUCGGAUGGUUAACCUUGGGCUUGUGCAGCUGCUGGAAACUUUCUGCUGCACUGUCUGGAUUCCUUCUUCGCGUUCGCGAGAAGGCCUCGCGUUCGCGAAGAGGAAAUUAUAGACCUGCACAUUUUGUGCUUCGCGUUGGCGAAGAGAGCCUCGCGUUCGCGAAGAAGGAUUUGGCUUAUGAGAUUUUGUUCUUUGCGUUCGCGAAUAAGAAGGAAUUCGGUUGCACAGGUCUUACUUCGGAGGCUUAUAUCUCUCAAUAUACAAUGAAUUUGGAUAUGAUUCAAAAUCGAAAGUUAUAUUUCUUUGAGUCUAGUUUCCAGAAACAUAUUAUAAUACGAAUUUGGAGUUGUGUGGAAAGAGUUAUGACCAUUGCACUAGAGGCUGUCCAAGCAGAGUUUGGAAAAAUGAUUUUUGAAAUUUUGUUCUUCGCGAACGCGAGAGUAGGACCGUGAACACGAAGAACAAACCCCUGGGCAGCAGAAUAAAGUCCAAACUCGUCUCACACUUCCAUUUUUGGACCAAGGGAGCUCGGGUGAGGCGAUGUUUCGAAGGAUUUUCAGAGAAAAUAACGGGGCAAGUCUUCUUGAAUCAAUUUUGGUUAGAUUACUCGAAUCCAUCAUUGUUUUUAACAUUAAUUGAUGAUUUUAGUUAGUAAAAUCUUGAAAACCCUCUUGGAUAGAAUCGCGGAUUUGAGGGUCGAAAUGUGAUGGGAUUUGAAUAAUUUUGGUAUGGUUAGACUCGUGGGGAUAUAAGGAACCUGUUGAUGUAAAAAUUUCUGAGUUUCAAGAAGUGGGCCCGGGGCUCGGGUUUUGCCAAUUUCGGGAUUUUUGAUAUUUUUUGAUUGUUUUUAAUUGGGUAUUAUUCCUUUAGCUUAUUGUGACGUAUUCGUUGUGGUUUUGGUCAAAUUCGACGCGCGAGGAGGCUGAUUUGAGAGGCAAGAGCAUAGCGAGCUAGAGUUUUGGUCGGUUUGAGGUGAGUAAUGAUUGUAAAUGAUGUCCUGAGGGUUUGAAACCCCGGAUUGCACAUCGUAGUGCUAUAUUAAGGUGAGACACGCGCUGGAUGAUGAGCGUGGGGUCUUUUACUACUGGAGAUUGUGACUUGAUCCGUCCCGAUUGAUGAUUUUUACCACAUAUUUGACUGAAAUUUAUUUGUUAUCAUCAUGAUUUGGGUUGAUUGCCAUAUUUGGGCUUCGUGCCAACAUUUGGACCCUUCGGGGAUUUUUAUCACUGUUUCCUCACUGCUCGACUUAUUAUUUGAACUCAGUCCUGUUGAUAUCUACUGUUUUACAAACUCAGCCACUUUUACUCAGAUUUGAAACUUAAAUGAUAUUUCUACAUCAUGUUUUGGGCUUAGAACUACUAUUUUACUAAUGUCCAAGGGGCUUGUGAUGAUUUUUGGACUGAGUGAGGCCGAGGGCCAUAUGUGUGGAUAUGCUGAGUGAUAUGAGGCCGAGGGCCUGAGAUACUUUAUAUGNNNNNNNNNNNNNNNNNNNNNNNNNNNNAGUACCCAUUGUUCUGAGUGAUUGAUACUAUGCCCGAGGGGCUGAUAUGAGUGAUUGUGAGGUAACCCGAGGGGCUAAUACUAUUCUGAGAGUGAGCCCGCGGGGCUGAUACUGUUCUGAGAGUGAGCCCGAGAGGUAGAUUUCUACUUGUUAUUUAUUGCCAAAUUACCUGUUUUACUUGUUUAAAAAGAGAUUUCAUUUGAUACUUCACUGGUUUACCGAUUUUAAGUGACUUCACUACUUCUGUAUAGAAUGCUUUGUGCCUUUACGUGUUUUCUUGCUUUCAGUCAUUAUUUAUAUUUAUUACUCACUGGGUCGGAGUACUCACAUUACUCUCUACACCGUGUGUGCAAAUUCAGGCAUAGCAUAUUUCCACUCCUGAGAGAUGAUCCUUCUAGUCCAGGCGGUGUUUCGGAGACUAUGAGGUAGUUGUUGGCGUCCGCAGACCCCGUGACUCCCUUAUCUUUUCAUUUCCAUGUUAUUCGAACUAUUGUAUCGAAUUUCGUAUUUAGUAGACUUGUAUCAGGAUUCUUUAGUUGCUCAUGACUUGUGACACCCCGGUUAGGGCUAUAUCGGGUUGGAUUUCUGCACUCUUAUCUAUACUUUCCGCUAUUUGGUAUUAUUAAACCAUGUCUAUACUAUAAUUGUGUUAACUUACUGUUUUAAAGGAUGAAUUGGGUUAGACUGGCUGGCUUUGUCUUAACGAGAGGUGCCAUCACGACCAGGUUCGGGAUUUGGGUCGUGACAAGUUGGUAUCAGAGCCAGGUUACUUAGGUCUCACGAGUCAUGAGAAGGUUUAGUAGAGUCUCGCGGAUCGGUAUGGAGACGUCUGUAUUUAUUCUCGAGAGGCUGCAGAACCUUUAGGAAAAACUUCAUGUUCUUGAAUUCUUAUCGUGCGUCCUUAAUUCAGCUUGAAAAGUAACUUUUGAAGCUCCUUCCACGUGUUCGUAUGCGCGCUGAGCGCUCAGUAUUAGAUGUGCCUUGAUGGCUUGUGAUUCCCCGAUCGAGGGGCGAGAUGUGAUUUCUGUGAUGUUCGAUGUUGGGCUAGUCUGGAGAACUUGAGGUCAGAUCUUUGCUUAUGGCUUGAGCACCGAGGUGCUGAUUGUGUGAGCAAGUGCUUUUGAAUUUAUAUGUUCGGUAAUUUUUCCCUAUUGUGGAAGUGACGGCUGAAUGACUAUGUAAUAAGAAUGUUAGUGCUGCGAGAUAUAUUCGUAUGAUUGGGAAGUGACGAGAAAGGUCUGCUGGAGAAUAGAAGAACUAUUAGGUGCUUGAUUUCCGUCUGGAUUCGAGUUAUAGCCCGAGUUGUGGGCGUGUGAAGAAUCUCUUCUUGUUUCCUAGUUGGGGGUGAAGUAAAUUUCAUGUUGCGGUACGAGUUCAGACUCAGAAAGACUAAGCGACAGCGUACGGUUUGUGAUGGUGGAAGGUAUACAGAAAUGUUAAUGGAAGGCAAAGUAGGUGGGUUAUCUCCUGUGAAGAAUUCUGGGGUUGUGUGAUCCUUAUGUGUCUGUUAGAAAAUCUCAUUUACCAGUGGAAUAUAAGUGUUGAAAUUUGAAUGUGGGUCACUUCAGAGAACAAGCUUGACUGUUGCACGAGUGAAUUGCGAGAAUUGCAGAAGAGUUAAAGUACUAGAUGAUCUGUGUUUUCGUAGGCUUGCAAAGGAUUCGAGUUAAAUCUCACUAUGGUAUUAUGACAUCAAUAGAGUACAAGUGUUAUGAGUUAUUGAGAGAAUUUUGAUCUAUGACUCCGAGCCAAGUGGGGGAGUCUGAUGUGAGUAGUUGAUUGCACGGUUAGGUGCUACGUUAGUUCCAGUUGGAGGCGUGCGGGCGAAUCAGUUAUGGCUUGCGGAAUUUGAGACUGGGAAUGACUCUAGUAAAGGAAAAAAAGAAAAAAAAAAUCUUAACAAGGUAUAUAGUAUGCUUCAUAAGUGUGUAAGAAUCACGGAAUGUCUUAAGUUGUUGUUGGUAAAGAAUGAUCCGUGCAUAGAGCAGGAAGUUGCUUGGAUGUGUUAGAAUGAGGAUUUCAUUCUGCGGUGUCAGAGUGCUAAUGAGGCACAUGCGGUUCUGUUCAUUUGAUCAGGCUAAUUGCAGUUUGAAUAGGGUGAAUGACUCUCAAGAAUGGUUCUAAUGUGUUCAAGAUUUUACAUAUAACAGUUGGGUAAGUUAAAGUUGUAUAUGUGGUUAGAGACUGAGUUCUCAUUAGAAGAUGUCGAGACUUGUGGUAUUUUCUUUACAAAUUAUGAGAUUCUAUGUAUCAGUACCAGGAAGGUAAAGGUAACAGAUUUAGAUUUGCAGGAAGUCUCUUCAGAGCAAAGUACCUUGAUCGUGGUGCUCGUGGGAAUAUCUGAGAAAGUAUUUAGCGGCUUAUUAGCCUUAGACGGUGUGGCAUUAUGCUUGGGUCCCGUGUGGUAAGUUUGGGUUGAGGAAUUGUGAUGUUAUAACAAGAAUGAGUAUUAAGUUAAAGGUAAAUCAGAAGGAAAUUUAGAUAGAUGGAAUAGUUUGAUAGUAGACCGAAUCGGUAUGGUAAGGAUAUGAUUAAUUCCUUGUGUGUGUUCAAGGUAAUGAAUUCAUUCAGGUAUUUUGCGGCGAUGCUCUUAGGUUUUGAUGGCUGGAUUAGCUUGAUCGAGUUAGAAGGAUUCAGUCCUGACAUGUCUGAUUUGUGCAAAGGGAGCUCGGAGAGUUCUUGAUAGUUUUUACCACGGUUUGGAGAUGUAUACUUUCUAUGGGCAUGCGAAGCGAGGAGCAUGGGAUGUAUAGUGAUUUUUCUUCUAGAUUGGUACCAAUGGAAAGUCCUUGACUAGUUGAGUACGUAGAUGUUUGUGGCUCGGAAGGAAGAUGAAGUUAUCAUGUUAUCCUGAGAUGGUAUGGUAUAUGCGGUAGGUUGUGAAGGAUUGACAAUUGUGUGUGGAAGGUUACGGUUCAGUUCUGAACAGAAAGUCAUGAAUUCUUAGGCAGCACGGGCAGUUUCAGAUGAUUAAGGAAGUGGUAGUGCUAAUUGGGGUGAAUUGACGAGGGUAUGUGUUUCAGAAAAGACAAUGUGAUUAGGUUGAUGGUACUUCGGUAGUAUCGCGACACUUUCUUGUUAGAUCGACUGGUGAUAUUCGAGUUUGCUUGGUGGCACAGGGAAAUUUUGAGUAUCUAUCGUGGAAUGAUUUGGGAAUUUGAGGCGUAAUAUGUAUUCGGACGACAAAAUUGGGAUCGGAUAUGGUGAUUCGUGCGCCAUAUGGAUUUAGAGACAUGAAAGUUCUCACAUUCAGGCUAUGUUGUGGUUGAGAGUCGUGUGUAUCGGCACUGUUUAGUGACUAUCAGGGUUUGGAGACCCGAGUGGAUCUUUCUUUAUUGGUAUGUUAGAUAUUGGACGUGAUGUUGGAGUUCAGACCAGUUGUCUCCGUGUGGUGUCAUUCUGGACUGUCGCGCUAAGGCGGCACUGUUGGCUAUGCUAGAAAAGCCAUGGGUUGAGUGGCGAGGUUCGAUGGAUUAUGUCCUAGUAGAGUGGUAUUAUAUUUCUAAGGCUCAGCGGACGGCUGGGAAGGAGUGUCUUUCUUAUUUGGGCUCUCGUGAUGGAUGUCAGUGUAGGGCUCCUCAUAUUGGUCCAGUUCCGGGGGUGAGGAACUUUUCGGAUGUGUUUCAUGUUGUCGGGCAUGUCGCCAGGCAAGGUUGUUGAUUUCGAUAUUGAUUCGAUGACGGAAACCAAAUAAUAUUAUUGAGGGAUGUGUUGAUUCGAUUGUUAUUGAACUUAUUAGUAAUCUGGGAGGUCUAUGAAUUACAUUUCUGUGUUGCGAGAUGUAUGGUUUGUUGGUUAUGGUCACAUAUGGUGCGUUUCUAUUGGGGUUCAUAGUCGAAGUCGAGCAGGAAGAGUAAUUGGGUGUUGCUCUGUGAAUGGCAUAUCGGUUAUGUCCUAUCGGGUUUGUGUGGUAUAUGCUAUUUGCUUCACCGUGGGUGUAAUGGAUUUACUUUGGUUCCAGACAUCAAAUUGUGUGUGGUUGUCAAUUUCGAGCAUAGUGAAUUGAGGUAUUUCAUGUGGAACAGUGUUUGGAUAGGAUCGCGCAUCUUGCAGCGAAGCUAUGUUGAGAUAUGACCUUGCGGGUUAGAUUCGGGUGUUCUAUUUCUAUGAUGUGAGACGGGUCCUCAGCCUUGUGUGGUGAUGGUACUAGUGAGCUUGAGGUACAACUCUUGCAUUUGAGUCAGUUUCAUGAUGUGAGUAUGUUCGGAUUAUUGCUUAUUGGUACGCAGACUGUGCAAGUUGUGGCUUUAUUCUGUGUGGGAUUAGAUGCGAUCGUUGGGGUUUUAAUGAAUACAAACGGGUUCGAUUUCAGCAUGUUUGAAGGAUAAUAUCAAGGUUCGGCUCAGAAAUUUGCUAUGGUCCUUGCCGAAGGAGAAAUGACCUUACGAAUGGUUGAUCUAAGAAAUGGUUAUGGUUUAUUGCGUAUUUCGAUUAUCAUUGGCAGUAUAUGGAAGUGUUCGAAUGAGACUUUAGUUGAUAAAAGGUUUUCUAUCGGUAUUCGGUUGUUAUGUGCAGCUGCUAUGAUUAGAAGUUAUCGCUACGAGUAUUUGAGUUAUGUGGUAUAUCAUGUGACUACACCUGAGAUAGCAGAUAUGCUUUGUUACGGCUUGUUCGGAUUUAUUCACAGUAUAAAUGUGAGAUUUUAAUCAUAUUGAGGAUUUUAGAAGCAGAAAUGUGGUUCUAUGGUUUAUGGACUAGGAUGGAUUGUGAAAUUUCAGUUAUAUUGUGUUAUCGAACCUAUAUUAGAUAGGGUGACGUGG
Molecule: long non-coding RNA, 12741 nt
Filed under: Nicotiana tabacum (common tobacco)
Lineage: Eukaryota; Viridiplantae; Streptophyta; Magnoliopsida; Solanales; Solanaceae
Description: long non-coding RNA (NTAB_LNC002897)
Source: RNAcentral